RNAcentral lists this long non-coding RNA (326 nucleotides) under Trifolium pratense (red clover). RNAcentral's name for it is "long non-coding RNA (TPRA_LNC012055)". The record is from RNAcentral. Lineage: Eukaryota; Viridiplantae; Streptophyta; Magnoliopsida; Fabales; Fabaceae.
AGGUGGAUUUGGAUGGGAGAAAGAGAGAUGAAAGAGAAGGAGAAGAGUAAGAGAAGUGAGUGAAGGUGGAACCACCUAUCUUCAUCUUCGAUUCUUCUUAGGAUGUUGUUCCUAAUUUAGACAGGGGUUAUCCAGCAAGGUGUGUUUGUGUCAGUUGCUACCUCCAUAUGCAACUGUGAUAAAACGGUUGAAUGGUGAAUCCGUGGGUUACAACCAUUGGAUGGAUUACAUGGCUAAUCAACGGGUUAGAAGAAUGACGAUUUCCCAUAACUAUUUGUCUCAUAAAAAGUGUCUCUUUUUUAUUUAUUUUUUAAAAAUAUUUAUAG